Molecule: transfer RNA, 75 nt
Filed under: Garcinia paucinervis
Lineage: Eukaryota; Viridiplantae; Streptophyta; Magnoliopsida; Malpighiales; Clusiaceae
Description: tRNA-His
Rfam family: tRNA
About the family: Transfer RNA (tRNA) molecules are approximately 80 nucleotides in length.
Source: RNAcentral
GCGGAUGUAGCCAAGUGGAUCAAGGCAAUGGAUUGUGAAUCCAUCAUACGCGGGUUCAAUUCCCGUCGUUCGCCC